UAGUCUAAUGGUUAAGGCUAUGGAUCGCCAAUCCGGAGACGGCGGGUUCGAUUCCCGU
This is a non-coding RNA of Aedes albopictus (Asian tiger mosquito), 58 nucleotides long. The record is from Rfam. NCBI's taxonomy places the organism in Eukaryota, Metazoa, Arthropoda, Insecta, Diptera, Culicidae.